RNAcentral lists this ribosomal RNA (2942 nucleotides) under Priestia megaterium. RNAcentral describes it as "Bacillus megaterium 23S ribosomal RNA". It matches the Rfam family "Bacterial large subunit ribosomal RNA". Lineage: Bacteria; Bacillati; Bacillota; Bacilli; Caryophanales; Bacillaceae. The record is from RNAcentral.
AUGGUUAAGUUAGAAAGGGCGCACGGUGAAUGCCUUGGCACUAGGAGCCGAUGAAGGACGGGACUAACACCGAUAUGCUUCGGGGAGCUGUAAGUGAGCUUUGAUCCGGAGAUUUCCGAAUGGGGAAACCCACUGUUCGUAAUGGAACAGUAUCUUUAUCUGAAUACAUAGGAUAUUGAAGGCAGACCCGGGGAACUGAAACAUCUAAGUACCCGGAGGAAGAGAAAGCAAAUGCGAUUUCCUGAGUAGCGGCGAGCGAAACGGAAUUAGCCCAAACCAAGAGGCUUGCCUCUUGGGGUUGUAGGACACUCUAUACGGAGUUACAAAGGAACGAAGUAAAUGAAGCGACCUGGAAAGGUCCGUCAAAGAAGGUAACAACCCUGUAGUUGAAACUUCGUUCCCUCUUGAGUGGAUCCUGAGUACGGCGGAACACGUGAAAUUCCGUCGGAAGCUGGGAGGACCAUCUCCCAAGGCUAAAUACUACCUAGUGACCGAUAGUGAACCAGUACCGUGAGGGAAAGGUGAAAAGCACCCCGGAAGGGGGAGUGAAAGAGAUCCUGAAACCGUGUGCCUACAAGUAGUCAGAGCCCGUUAAUGGGUGAUGGCGUGCCUUUGUAGAAUGAACCGGCGAGUUACGAUCCCAUGCAAGGUUAAGCUGAUAAGGCGGAGCCGUAGCGAAAGCGAGUCUGAAUAGGGCGUUUAGUAUGUGGUUGUAGACCCGAAACCAGGUGAUCUACCCAUGUCCAGGGUGAAGUUCAGGUAACACUGAAUGGAGGCCCGAACCCACGCACGUUGAAAAGUGCGGGGAUGAGGUGUGGGUAGCGGAGAAAUUCCAAUCGAACCUGGAGAUAGCUGGUUCUCUCCGAAAUAGCUUUAGGGCUAGCCUCAUGUUGUGAGAGUCUUGGAGGUAGAGCACUGAUUGGACUAGGGGCCCCCAACGGGUUACCGAAUUCAGUCAAACUCCGAAUGCCAAAGACUUAUCCAUGGGAGUCAGACUGCGAGUGAUAAGAUCCGUAGUCAAAAGGGAAACAGCCCAGACCACCAGCUAAGGUCCCCAAGUAUACGUUAAGUGGAAAAGGAUGUGGAGUUGCUUAGACAACCAGGAUGUUGGCUUAGAAGCGUACCACCAUUUAAAGAGUGCGUAAUAGCUCACUGGUCGAGUGACUCUGCGCCGAAAAUGUACCGGGGCUAAACGUAUCACCGAAGCUGUGGAUUGACAUCUUAGAUGUCAGUGGUAGGAGAGCGUUCUAAGUGCUGUGAAGUCAGACCGUAAGGACUGGUGGAGCGCUUAGAAGUGAGAAUGCCGGUAUGAGUAGCGAAAGACAAGUGAGAAUCUUGUCCACCGAAUGCCUAAGGUUUCCUGAGGAAGGCUCGUCCGCUCAGGGUUAGUCGGGACCUAAGCCGAGGCUGAAAAGCGUAGGCGAUGGCCAACAGGUUGAUAUUCCUGUACCACCUCCCCGCCGUUUGAGUAAUGGGGGGACGCAGUAGGAUAGGGUAAGCGCGGCCGCUGGAUAUGCGCGUUCAAGCAGUUAGGCUGAUGAGUAGGCAAAUCCGCUCAUCAUAAAGGCUGAGCUGUGAUGACGAGGGAAUUAUAGUACCGAAGUUCCUGAUUCCACACUGCCAAGAAAAGCCUCUAGCGAGGCGGGAGGUGCCCGUACCGCAAACCGACACAGGUAGGCGAGGAGAGAAUCCUAAGGUGAUCGAGAGAACUCUCGUUAAGGAACUCGGCAAAAUGACCCCGUAACUUCGGGAGAAGGGGUGCUCUGGUAGGGUGUAUAGCCCGAGAGAGCCGCAGUGAAUAGGCCCAGGCGACUGUUUAGCAAAAACACAGGUCUCUGCGAAGCCGCAAGGCGAAGUAUAGGGGCUGACGCCUGCCCGGUGCUGGAAGGUUAAGAGGAGGGGUUAUCCUUUGGGAGAAGCUCUGAAUCGAAGCCCCAGUAAACGGCGGCCGUAACUAUAACGGUCCUAAGGUAGCGAAAUUCCUUGUCGGGUAAGUUCCGACCCGCACGAAAGGCGUAACGAUCUGGGCACUGUCUCAACGAGAGACUCGGUGAAAUUAUAGUACCUGUGAAGAUGCAGGUUACCCGCGACAGGACGGAAAGACCCCGUGGAGCUUUACUGUAGCCUGAUAUUGAAUUUUGGUACAGCUUGUACAGGAUAGGUAGGAGCCUGAGAAGCCGGAGCGCUAGCUUCGGUGGAGGCGUCGGUGGGAUACUACCCUGGCUGUAUUGAAAUUCUAACCCGCGGCCCUGAUCGGGCCGGGAGACAGUGUCAGGUGGGCAGUUUGACUGGGGCGGUCGCCUCCUAAAAUGUAACGGAGGCGCCCAAAGGUUCCCUCAGAAUGGUUGGAAAUCAUUCGUAGAGUGUAAAGGCACAAGGGAGCUUGACUGCGAGACCUACAAGUCGAGCAGGGACGAAAGUCGGGCUUAGUGAUCCGGUGGUUCCGCAUGGAAGGGCCAUCGCUCAACGGAUAAAAGCUACCCCGGGGAUAACAGGCUUAUCUCCCCCAAGAGUCCACAUCGACGGGGAGGUUUGGCACCUCGAUGUCGGCUCAUCGCAUCCUGGGGCUGUAGUCGGUCCCAAGGGUUGGGCUGUUCGCCCAUUAAAGCGGUACGCGAGCUGGGUUCAGAACGUCGUGAGACAGUUCGGUCCCUAUCCGUCGUGGGCGUAGGAAAUUUGAGAGGAGCUGUCCUUAGUACGAGAGGACCGGGAUGGACACACCGCUGGUGUACCAGUUGUCUUGCCAAAGGCAUCGCUGGGUAGCUAUGUGUGGACGGGAUAAGUGCUGAAAGCAUGUAAGCAUGAAGGCCGCCGGAAGAUGAGAUUGGCCAUAGCGCAAGCUAGUAAGAUCCCUGAAAGAUGAUCAGGUUGAGAGGUCAGAGGUGGAAGCGUGGCGACAUGUGUAGCUGACUGAUACUAAUCGAUCGAGGACUUAACCAAAC